GAAACCCUAUUUUAAUUGAAAAUGACACCUUUGCAAGGUGAUUGAUAAAGCCAAUUGGCUUUGGGUUUUG
RNAcentral lists this transfer RNA (70 nucleotides) under Ascidiella aspersa. RNAcentral's name for it is "transfer RNA-Ala". The record is from RNAcentral. Lineage: Eukaryota; Metazoa; Chordata; Ascidiacea; Phlebobranchia; Ascidiidae.